AUUUAUAGUAAGAGGAAAAUCCGUCGAUUUUAGAAAUCGUGAGGGUUCAA
RNAcentral lists this transfer RNA (50 nucleotides) under Phylica plumigera. RNAcentral's name for it is "partial tRNA-Leu". The record is from RNAcentral. Lineage: Eukaryota; Viridiplantae; Streptophyta; Magnoliopsida; Rosales; Rhamnaceae.